GAUCAUGGCUCAGGGUGAACGCUGGCGGCGUGCUUAACACAUGCAAGUCGAACGAAGCACUUUAUUUGAUUUCCUUCGGGAUUGAUUAUUUUGUGACUGAGUGGCGGACGGGUGAGUAACGCGUGGGUAACCUGCCUUGUACAGGGGGAUAACAGUUGGAAACGGCUGCUAAUACCGCAUAAGCGCACAGCAUCGCAUGAUGCAGUGUGAAAAACUCCGGUGGUAUAAGAUGGACCCG
This 238-nucleotide ribosomal RNA is filed under the name uncultured bacterium. RNAcentral describes it as "partial 16S ribosomal RNA". It matches the Rfam family "Bacterial small subunit ribosomal RNA", at positions 15 to 233 of the family's 1533-position model. The record is from RNAcentral.